Molecule: ribosomal RNA, 253 nt
Filed under: uncultured bacterium
Lineage: Bacteria
Description: partial 16S ribosomal RNA
Rfam family: Bacterial small subunit ribosomal RNA
Source: RNAcentral
GACGUAGGGCGCGAGCGUUGUCCGGAUUUAUUGGGCGUAAAGAGCUCGUAGGCGGCUUGUUGCGUCGACCGUGAAAACCCGCGGCUCAACUGCGGGCUUGCGGUUGAUACGGGCAGGCUGGAGUUCGGUAGGGGAGACUGGAAUUCCUGGUGUAGCGGUGAAAUGCGCAGAUAUCAGGAGGAACACCGGUGGCGAAGGCGGAUCUCUGGGCCUUACCUGACGCUGAGGCGCGAAAGCUAGGGGAGCGAACAGG